ACGCGCCUAACGGCGUGC
RNAcentral lists this small nuclear RNA (18 nucleotides) under Arabidopsis thaliana (thale cress). RNAcentral's name for it is "snRNA_15585". The record is from RNAcentral. Lineage: Eukaryota; Viridiplantae; Streptophyta; Magnoliopsida; Brassicales; Brassicaceae.